ACGCCAAGUCUCCAAGAGCCACGGUCUUGUAAACCGUAGAUGCGGGUUCGAGUCCCGCUGGGCGUGCCA
RNAcentral lists this transfer RNA (69 nucleotides) under Bradyrhizobium sp. ISRA435. Its description in RNAcentral is "tRNA-Thr". It matches the Rfam family "tRNA". Rfam says of the family: Transfer RNA (tRNA) molecules are approximately 80 nucleotides in length. Their secondary structure includes four short double-helical elements and three loops (D, anti-codon, and T loops). The record is from RNAcentral. Lineage: Bacteria; Pseudomonadati; Pseudomonadota; Alphaproteobacteria; Hyphomicrobiales; Nitrobacteraceae. RNAcentral also lists the same sequence under 3 other names.